RNAcentral lists this long non-coding RNA (687 nucleotides) under Pan troglodytes (chimpanzee). RNAcentral's name for it is "lincRNA". Lineage: Eukaryota; Metazoa; Chordata; Mammalia; Primates; Hominidae. The record is from RNAcentral.
CUGGAACAUCAGCUGUUCUCUAGGUCUUAAGUCUGCUACUCUAACCUACAAAUUUUGGACAUGCCAAUCUCCACAGUCACAUGGGCCAAUUCCUUAGUUUCUCUGGAGAAUCCUGACUAAUGUAUGCAAUGUCUUUAUUUCAUCCUCAUUCUUAAAGGAUAUUUUCAUCAGCAACACCACACCCUCCUGAUCACCAUAGCUUUAUGCAACAACAAGAAACAAAUUUAUUAGCUAACCUAACCACUAAUGACGCAAGAGACAAUUCUAAGGACUUUCAAAACAGCAAAGUAGGAGCAGCUGCUACCUCUAGGGAUGAGGGAUGCAAUUGUCCAAUUAUUGGUGAAAUUGUCAUUUCAUGCUAUUGGCUAUUUGAAAUUCCUCCUCUAAUUUCAGAAUAAAUCACUGAAAUUGACAUCGGCCAGUCUGAAUUUCAAGAAAUUACCUGCUGGAGACAAGAGGGAUCUCUUCUUCAGAUUGGCAGUCUGGGGAAGACAGCCUCUAUAGUACUUUAGAACCUGAGAUACCGUGGUGGAGGGAGCCCUGGGUCAGUAGGAGUGGGGUCGAGUGGUAAGAUUCACCCUUAGGCUAGUAUUGACGUAAGGUGACGAGGAGCUGUAGACAAAAGAUUGUAACCAUAAGAACUUCAUAGUUUUUGUAUUUUCAUCGAGUUUAUAUUUGGUGUGUUUU